This 451-nucleotide ribosomal RNA is filed under the name uncultured bacterium. RNAcentral's name for it is "bacterial SSU rRNA". It matches the Rfam family "Bacterial small subunit ribosomal RNA", at positions 335 to 773 of the family's 1533-position model. The record is from RNAcentral.
ACUCCUACGGGAGGCAGCAGUGGGGAAUAUUGGACAAUGGGCGAAAGCCUGAUCCAGCCAUGCCGCGUGUGUGAAGAAGGUCUUCGGAUUGUAAAGCACUUUAAGUUGGGAGGAAGGGCAGUAAGUUAAUACCUUGCUGUUUUGACGUUACCAACAGAAUAAGCACCGGCUAACUUCGUGCCAGCAGCCGCGGUAAUACGAAGGGGUGCAAGCGUUAAUCGGAAUUACUGGGGCGUAAAGCGCGCGUAGGUGGUUCAGCAAGUUGGAUGUGAAAUCCCCGGGGCUCAACCUGGGGAACUGCAUCCAAAACUACUGAGCUAGAGUACGGUAGAGGGUGGUGGAAUUUCCUGUGUAGCGGUGAAAUGCGUAGAUAUAGGAAGGAACACCAGUGGCGAAGGCGACCGACCUGGACUGAUACUGACACUGAGGUGCGAAAGCGUGGGGAGCAAAC